This 70-nucleotide transfer RNA is filed under the name Porphyromonadaceae bacterium. Its description in RNAcentral is "tRNA-Met". It matches the Rfam family "tRNA". From Rfam's summary of the family: Transfer RNA (tRNA) molecules are approximately 80 nucleotides in length. Their secondary structure includes four short double-helical elements and three loops (D, anti-codon, and T loops). Further hydrogen bonds mediate the characteristic L-shaped molecular structure. tRNAs have two regions of fundamental functional importance: the anti-codon, which is responsible for specific mRNA codon recognition, and the 3' end, to which the tRNAs corresponding amino acid is attached (by aminoacyl-tRNA synthetases). tRNAs cope with the degeneracy of the genetic code in two manners: having more than one tRNA (with a specific anti-codon) for a particular amino acid; and 'wobble' base-pairing, i.e. permitting non-standard base-pairing at the 3rd anti-codon position. The record is from RNAcentral. Lineage: Bacteria; Pseudomonadati; Bacteroidota; Bacteroidia; Bacteroidales; Porphyromonadaceae.
GCCAUUUUUGCUCAGUUGGUAGAGCAAUUCUCAUAAUAACAGGUCUGGGGUUCGAGUCCCUAAAAAGGCU